RNAcentral lists this ribosomal RNA (432 nucleotides) under uncultured bacterium. Its description in RNAcentral is "partial 16S ribosomal RNA". It matches the Rfam family "Bacterial small subunit ribosomal RNA", at positions 29 to 506 of the family's 1533-position model. The record is from RNAcentral.
AACGAACGCUGGCGGCAUGCCUAACACAUGCAAGUCGAACGAGACCUUCGGGUCUAGUGGCGCACGGGUGCGUAACGCGUGGGAACCUGCCCUUAGGUUCGGAAUAACUCCCCGAAAGGGGUGCUAAUACCGGAUAAUGUCUUCGGACCAAAGAUUUAUCGCCUUUGGAUGGGCCCGCGUUGGAUUAGCUAGUUGGUAGGGUAAAAGCCUACCAAGGCGACGAUCCAUAGCUGGUCUGAGAGGAUGAUCAGCCACACUGGGACUGAGACACGGCCCAGACUCCUACGGGAGGCAGCAGUGGGGAAUAUUGGACAAUGGGCGAAAGCCUGAUCCAGCAAUGCCGCGUGAGUGAUGAAGGCCUUAGGGUUGUAAAGCUCUUUUACCCGGGAUGAUAAUGACAGUACCGGGAGAAUAAGCUCCAGCUAACUCCGU